GGAGGUAUAGCUUAGUGGUAGAGCACUUGCCUAGCAUGCAUAUAGCCCUGGAUUCUAUCCCUAGCACCACCA
This 72-nucleotide transfer RNA is filed under the name Heterocephalus glaber (naked mole-rat). It matches the Rfam family "tRNA". From Rfam's summary of the family: Transfer RNA (tRNA) molecules are approximately 80 nucleotides in length. Their secondary structure includes four short double-helical elements and three loops (D, anti-codon, and T loops). Further hydrogen bonds mediate the characteristic L-shaped molecular structure. tRNAs have two regions of fundamental functional importance: the anti-codon, which is responsible for specific mRNA codon recognition, and the 3' end, to which the tRNAs corresponding amino acid is attached (by aminoacyl-tRNA synthetases). tRNAs cope with the degeneracy of the genetic code in two manners: having more than one tRNA (with a specific anti-codon) for a particular amino acid; and 'wobble' base-pairing, i.e. permitting non-standard base-pairing at the 3rd anti-codon position. Lineage: Eukaryota; Metazoa; Chordata; Mammalia; Rodentia; Bathyergidae. The record is from Rfam by way of RNAcentral.